AUGUGGGCAAAUUUGGAACACCUAGAAGAGGGUCCAUUACUGUUAAUUCUCCAAGGACUGUGUCGUCUUCCAUUUGAUAUUUUUCAAGCACUUGUAUUAAGGCCGGCGAAGUUCUGUUGGAGAGGUCCUCUGUCGGUCACAGGGCAACCUGAGGGCUUCUUCCCAAGCAUCAGCCGGUCCACUUUUGAANCAGCACACAACAGUUGGAAGCCCAGUGAACAAAGGCAGGAGAAGAAAUAGGAAAUGGGAAAGUCCUGAAGGCAUUUUGGGAGUUGUUGCUGUUUUACAUUGGCUGGUGAACCUAAGAGGAGCCCUGCUGGAUCAGGCCACGGCCCAUCUAGUCCAGCAUCCUGUCUCACACAGNNNCCCACCANUUGCUUCUGGGCAUCUCAAGCAGAAGAUGAAGGCAAAACCUUCACCUGCUCUCAACUCCCUGCAAAUGGNCUUUAUAGGCAUCCNGCCUGUCUCUCCAACCUGGAGGUGGUACCUGUGCAUCCAUUCUAGAAGUCACUGAUACACCUGUCUCCAGUGAAUUUGUCUAACCCUUUCUUAAAGCUAUCCAGGCUGACUGCUGGNAUUGUGACAUCAUUUUAUAUUGGGUUUCUUAUACAGGCAUCCCUUGGUUUUUGUGAGGUUUACGUUCCUCCAUAGAGGUGUAGAUAUCAAAACUCCCGAAAAUNGAGGGACACAUUGAAUGGGUAACUUCACCCUAUUGAGCCUUGUGGGCCUGAAUAACAGCUGUUUGGCAGGGUAAAUGCAGAAGUAUCUGGGUUUGCCGUCCUUUUUUCAAAUCGCCAAUUGUGAGGGAGGGUUGUAAACCCUUUUGCUUGAAUAAGCAAAACUGUGAGUUCACAUUCUUGUGAAAACCUGCGAAAUUUGAGCAGCAACUGUGUGUGUUUGGCUUUAUGAACAUCUGUCUGGGUUUUUUNCCCCUCCUCUUUCCUAGUCUGUUACCCAUCUUAAGACCAUUUGGCGAAGGGUGGGUUAUAAAUGCAGGAAAUAAAAUGCAUAAACAGACAGAUAAAUAGAUACUG
RNAcentral lists this long non-coding RNA (1034 nucleotides) under Salvator merianae (Argentine black and white tegu). RNAcentral's name for it is "lncRNA (ENSSMRG00000021355.1)". The record is from RNAcentral. Lineage: Eukaryota; Metazoa; Chordata; Lepidosauria; Squamata; Teiidae.